RNAcentral lists this ribosomal RNA (373 nucleotides) under uncultured Bacteroidota bacterium. RNAcentral describes it as "bacterial SSU rRNA". It matches the Rfam family "Bacterial small subunit ribosomal RNA", at positions 521 to 896 of the family's 1533-position model. Lineage: Bacteria; Pseudomonadati; Bacteroidota. The record is from RNAcentral.
UAAUACGGAGGGUGCAAGCGUUAUCCGGAUUUAUUAGGUUUAAAGGGUCCGCAGGCGGAACUUUAAGUCAGUGGUGAAAGCCUACAGCUUAACUGUAGAACUGCCAUUGAUACUGAAGUUCUUGAGUGUGGUUGAAGUGGGCGGAAUAUGUCAUGUAGCGGUGAAAUGCAUAGAUAUGACAUGGAACACCAAUUGCGAAGGCAGCUCACUAAACCAUUACUGACGCUCAUGGACGAAAGCGUGGGGAGCAAACAGGAUUAGAUACCCUGGUAGUCCACGCCGUAAACUAUGAUCACUAGAUGUUGGCGAUAUAAUGUCAGCGUUUUAGAGAAAUCGUUAAGUGAUCCACCUGGGGAGUACGUUCGCAAGAAUG